This 99-nucleotide transfer RNA is filed under the name Volvox carteri f. nagariensis. It matches the Rfam family "tRNA". From Rfam's summary of the family: Transfer RNA (tRNA) molecules are approximately 80 nucleotides in length. Their secondary structure includes four short double-helical elements and three loops (D, anti-codon, and T loops). The record is from Rfam by way of RNAcentral. Lineage: Eukaryota; Viridiplantae; Chlorophyta; Chlorophyceae; Chlamydomonadales; Volvocaceae.
GGGGUCGUAGCUCAAAUGGUAGAGCGCCCGCUUAGCAUGCGAUGCUGAGCGCCGCAGAUGAUAUGCGGGAGGUAGGGGGAUCGAUGCCCUCCGACUCCA